This 460-nucleotide ribosomal RNA is filed under the name uncultured bacterium. RNAcentral's name for it is "partial 16S ribosomal RNA". It matches the Rfam family "Bacterial small subunit ribosomal RNA", at positions 338 to 795 of the family's 1533-position model. The record is from RNAcentral.
CCUACGGGUGGCAGCAGUGAGGAAUAUUGGUCAAUGGACGAGAGUCUGAACCAGCCAAGUAGCGUGAAGGAUGACUGCCCUCUGGGUUGUAAACUUCUUUUAUAAAGGAAUAAAACGAGGCACGUGUGCCUUUUUGCAUGUACUUUAUGAAUAAGGCACGGCUAACUCCGUGCCAGCAGCCGCGGUAAUACGGAGGAUCCGAGCGUUAUCCGGAUUUAUUGGGUUUAAAGGGAGCGUAGAUGGGUUGUUAAGUCAGUUGUGAAAGUUUGCGGCUCAACCGUAAAAUUGCAAUUGAUACUGGCAGUCUUGAGUGCAGUUGAGGUAGGCGGAAUUCGUGGUGUAGCGGUGAAAUGCGUAGAUAUCACGAAGAACCCCAAUUGCGAAGGCAGCUUACUAGACUGUGACUGACAUUGAUGCUCGAAAGUGUGGGUAGCAAACAGGAUUAGAUACCCGUGUAGUC